GGGGAGAUUCCAGAGCGGCCAAAUGGGACGGACUGUAACUCCGUUGUUGUAAUGACUUCGAAGGUUCGAAUCCUUCUCUCCCCACCA
This 87-nucleotide transfer RNA is filed under the name Adhaeribacter soli. RNAcentral's name for it is "Adhaeribacter sp. M2 tRNA-Tyr". It matches the Rfam family "tRNA". Rfam says of the family: Transfer RNA (tRNA) molecules are approximately 80 nucleotides in length. Their secondary structure includes four short double-helical elements and three loops (D, anti-codon, and T loops). Lineage: Bacteria; Pseudomonadati; Bacteroidota; Cytophagia; Cytophagales; Hymenobacteraceae. The record is from RNAcentral.